CGCAUAGAGAUGAGUCCGCGUCCCAUUAGCUAGUUGGUGGGGUAACGGCCUACCAAGGCAACGAUGGGUAGCCGAUCUGAGAGGAUGAUCGGCCACAUUGGGACUGAGACACGGCCCAGACUCCUACGGGAGGCAGCAGUGGGGAAUAUUGCACAAUGGGGGAAACCCUGAUGCAGCGACGCCGCGUGGAGGAAGAAGGUCUUCGGAUUGUAAACUCCUGUUGUUGAGGAAGAUAAUGACGGUACUCAACAAGGAAGUGACGGCUAACUACGUGCCAGCAGCCGCGGUAAAACGUAGGUCACAAGCGUUGUCCGGAAUUACUGGGUGUAAAGGGAGCGCAGGCGGGAAGACAAGUUGGAAGUGAAAUCUAUGGGCUCAACCCAUAAACUGCUUUCAAAACUGUUUUUCUUGAGUAGUGCAGAGGUAGGCGGAAUUCCCGGUGUAGCGGUGGAAUGCGUAGAUAUCGGGAGGAACACCAGUGGCGAAGGCGGCCUACUGGGCACCAACUGACGCUGAGGCUCGAAAGUGUGGGUAGCAAACAGGAUUAGAUACCCUGGUAGUCCACACCGUAAACGAUGAUUACUAGGUGUUGGAGGAUUGACCCCUUCAGUGCCGCAGUUAACACAAUAAGUAAUCCACCUGGGGAGUACGACCGCAAGGUUGAAACUCAAAGGAAUUGACGGGGGCCCGCACAAGCAGUGGAGUAUGUGGUUUAAUUCGACGCAACGCGAAGAACCUUACCAAGUCUUGACAUCCUGCGACGAUGCUGGAAACAGUAUUUUCCUUCGGGACGCAGAGACAGGUGGUGCAUGGUUGUCGUCAGCUCGUGUCGUGAGAUGUUGGGUUAAGUCCCGCAACGAGCGCAACCCUUACUGUCAGUUACUACGCAAGAGGACUCUGGCAGGACUGCCGUUGACAAAACGGAGGAAGGUGGGGAUGACGUCAAAUCAUCAUGCCCUUUAUGACUUGGGCUACACACGUACUACAAUGGCGUUAAACAAAGAGAAGCAAGACCGCGAGGUGGAGCAAAACUCAGAAACAACGUCCCAGUUCGGACUGCAGGCUGCAACUCGCCUGCACGAAGUCGGAAUUGCUAGUAAUCGUGGAUCAGCAUGCCACGGUGAAUACGUUCCCGGGCCUUGCACACACCGCCCGUCA
This 1158-nucleotide ribosomal RNA is filed under the name uncultured bacterium. RNAcentral's name for it is "bacterial SSU rRNA". It matches the Rfam family "Bacterial small subunit ribosomal RNA", at positions 216 to 1399 of the family's 1533-position model. The record is from RNAcentral.